This 465-nucleotide ribosomal RNA is filed under the name uncultured bacterium. RNAcentral describes it as "partial 16S ribosomal RNA". It matches the Rfam family "Bacterial small subunit ribosomal RNA", at positions 338 to 795 of the family's 1533-position model. The record is from RNAcentral.
UCUACGGGAGGCAGCAGUGGGGAAUAUUGCGCAAUGGGCGAAAGCCUGACGCAGCGACGCCGCGUGAGGGAUGAAGGUCUUCGGAUCGUAAACCUCUGUCAGCAGGGAAGAACGGUCACUGUGCUAAUCAGCAGUGAAUUGACGGUACCUGCAAAGGAAGCACCGGCUAACUCCGUGCCAGCAGCCGCGGUAAUACGGAGGGUGCGAGCGUUAGUCGGAAUUACUGGGCGUAAAGCGCUCGUAGGCGGUAUGUCAAGUCAAGGGUGAAAUCCCCGCGCUCAACGUGGGAACUGCCUUUGAAACUGGCAAACUGGAGUGUGUGAGAGGAUAGUGGAAUUCCAGGUGUAGGAGUGAAAUCCGUAGAUAUCUGGAGGAACAUCAGUGGCGAAGGCGACUAUCUGGCACAUAACUGACGCUGAGGAGCGAAAGCGUGGGUAGCAAACAGGAUUAGAUACCCGAGUAGUC